This 451-nucleotide ribosomal RNA is filed under the name uncultured bacterium. RNAcentral's name for it is "partial 16S ribosomal RNA". It matches the Rfam family "Bacterial small subunit ribosomal RNA", at positions 354 to 796 of the family's 1533-position model. The record is from RNAcentral.
GUGGGGAAUAUUGGACAAUGGGGGGAACCCUGAUCCAGCCAUGCCGAGUGUGUGAAGAAGGCCUUUUGGUUGUAAAGCACUUUAAGCGAGGAGGAGGCUACCGAGAUUAAUACUCUUGGAUAGUGGACGUUACUCGCAGAAUAAGCACCGGCUAACUCUGUGCCAGCAGCCGCGGUAAUACAGAGGGUGCAAGCGUUAAUCGGAUUUACUGGGCGUAAAGCGCGCGUAGGUGGCCAAUUAAGUCAAAUGUGAAAUCCCCGAGCUUAACUUGGGAAUUGCAUUCGAUACUGGUUGGCUAGAGUAUGGGAGAGGAUGGUAGAAUUCCAGGUGUAGCGGUGAAAUGCGUAGAGAUCUGGAGGAAUACCGAUGGCGAAGGCAGCCAUCUGGCCUAAUACUGACACUGAGGUGCGAAAGCAUGGGGAGCAAACAGGAUUAGAAACCCUUGUAGUCC